Dreissena polymorpha is the source of this 608-nucleotide long non-coding RNA. RefSeq lists it as uncharacterized. Lineage: Eukaryota; Metazoa; Mollusca; Bivalvia; Myida; Dreissenidae. The record is from RefSeq and is a predicted model, not a curated record. The transcript has 4 exons.
UGAUCAGAGGUACUUGGACCAUAUAAAUUGAAUAUCGAACGUGCACGGAAUAUUAACGAUGUUCAAUUGAGUUUUAUUCCCCUAUUGACAAAAUGUGUCUGAACGCAAUUCAUCGUUUUUGAAAUAUAAACUUUUAGUUUCAUACGUGUGAAUAAUAUAGUAUCGGUAUGUGGAAAGUUACGUUUAAUAUUUUGGUGUGCUUACAAAUAUAUGGGACCCUCUGUCGGGCAGCGGAUGUCUGCCUUGUAGACAGCGAUUGUUAAGUACUGCGACUAUGGAUGCUGUAGCAAUGCCUGUUGUGGACUGUCCACAAUUGCCAUCGUAGGCCUGUGAUCGGCAGCCUAUUAUCACUGGCGGCACUGGUGGGGUGAUAUAGUGUGCCUGGCGUGCAUGUGCAAGCAGGGCGCCGGAUCCCGGGGCCAUACCGUCAUGCCGUACAACGCCAACUCCAUCGUGGUGCACAACUCCGGCCUGGGUCACCCCGCCCCCUCUUACAACAGCGACUCCGUUGCGCGGCGGCGGAGCCCCCGGGCGCUCCAACUACGGUAACUACAACGACCCCGUCUACCCCCCGGGCAUGGUUAACGAGGCACACCCCCCUCGUCAUA